RNAcentral lists this ribosomal RNA (164 nucleotides) under Magnolia officinalis. RNAcentral describes it as "5.8S ribosomal RNA". It matches the Rfam family "5.8S ribosomal RNA". Rfam says of the family: 5.8S ribosomal RNA (5.8S rRNA) is a component of the large subunit of the eukaryotic ribosome. It is transcribed by RNA polymerase I as part of the 45S precursor that also contains 18S and 28S rRNA. Functionally, it is thought that 5.8S rRNA may be involved in ribosome translocation. Lineage: Eukaryota; Viridiplantae; Streptophyta; Magnoliopsida; Magnoliales; Magnoliaceae. The record is from RNAcentral.
AAAACUUUCAACAACGGAUCUCUUGGUUCUGGCAUCGAUGAAGAACGCAGCGAAAUGCGAUAAGUAAUGUGAAUUGCAGAAUUCAGUGAAUCAUCGAAUCUUUGAACGCACAUUGCGCCCCCUGGUAUUCCGGGGGGCAUGCCUGUUCGAGCGUCAUUACAACC